RNAcentral lists this ribosomal RNA (252 nucleotides) under Crocidura latona (Latona's shrew). RNAcentral describes it as "partial large subunit ribosomal RNA". It matches the Rfam family "Bacterial large subunit ribosomal RNA", at positions 2347 to 2623 of the family's 2925-position model. The record is from RNAcentral. Lineage: Eukaryota; Metazoa; Chordata; Mammalia; Eulipotyphla; Soricidae.
GAAUAACAAAACCUCCGAGUGAUUUUAACCAAGACUUACCCGUCAAGGUUACAUAACUUAUUGAUCCAAUCACAUUGAUCAACGAAACAAGUUACCCUAGGGAUAACAGCGCAAUCCUAUUUGAGAGUUCAUAUCGACAAUAGGGUUUACGACCUCGAUGUUGGAUCAGGACACCCAAAUGGUGCAGCAGCUAUUAAAGGUUCGUUUGUUCAACGAUUAAAGUCCUACGUGAUCUGAGUUCAGACCGGAGAA